This is a long non-coding RNA of Felis catus (domestic cat), 1731 nucleotides long. RefSeq lists it as uncharacterized. The transcript has 3 exons. Lineage: Eukaryota; Metazoa; Chordata; Mammalia; Carnivora; Felidae. The record is from RefSeq and is a predicted model, not a curated record.
UAAACAAAUUUGUAAAAUAUAUUACCCCCCCCCCCCACAAAAAAAUAGGAAAAGCAAACCCUUUUCCUUUGCAAGAAAAGAUUUGUGAUUUCCGAGGAGGUAAAACCUGGAGAACUGAGCAGAGAGUUUUCAUUUGAAGCCCCAUAGGAGAGAAGAUGAAAGACUUCAAGGUAACUUCCCACCAUCACAUAUAGUAAGACAAUAGGUUCUUCCAGGCAGAAGGAAAAGAGACUGAGAAGGUUUAGAAGGUGUAUGGAACCAGCAGGGAGUAAGAGAAGGAGAAAGAAAAUACUGCAGAUGUGACAUCACAGAAACCAGUGGAGAGAAAGUAUUUUAAGAAGGAGUGAGUAAUCCACCUCAUCAAAUGCUGCCAAGAGAUCAGGGAAGAAGAGAACUGUAGAGUCUCUACGAUCAGCUUUAACAAGAUGGAGGUCCGCUAAUGGCCUUCACAAGACAAGCUUGGGGCUUUGGAAAGAGCAGGAGAGAGAGAAGAGUGGAGCAAAGAGUACUAAAGAGGGAUGGGAAAGUGGAGGCGUCUUUUGUUUGGAUGUGUGGAGGGAUGAGAAAGAGCAUUGUUUGGAGGAUUGGAGAUCGCGAAGAGGUUUUCCUACGAUACAACUUCCUCAAGCAUGCUUGUGACUAGAUGGACAGGACGGAGAUAUAGGAACUAAGUCCCUGAAAAGGCGGGGGGAAUGGGUCCUUCCACGCUCCUGACUGCUCUGGUGGCUGUGAAAAUUGGCUGCCGGCAGAGCAUGGCUGACUGAUGGCCCCAGCUGCUGUGCUUCUGGAUCCACUCCUGCUUCCCUGCUGAGGCUGCCUCCCACAGGCUGUUCUCAGUAAAUGGCUAAACAUGGCGGGGCCAGUCCUAUGGCGAUUUUGGCAUGAAGACUCCCCAGGGCCCUGGGCAAACCUUUCUUGGAACUGUACCGUCAUCAGAGGCUCUUCUGUCCAAUCCUCCUUGCCCCACUCCUUCAAAGGUGCCAGACCUCCUUAUGGCCUGAAGUCCCUCUCUGCCUUCUUUGCCUCCUCCUUUUUAUCCUCUUCAGGAAUUGCCCCCCAUAUAGAUCUCAUGCACGUCUGAUCCGGUCUUCACAUCUGCUUCUAGAAGGACCCAAACCUACAAAAGCUGCUGACGCCCACAUCAGCCUUUGUCCUCUCUUCUGACUGUCAGACUUGUCUUUCUAACUUCUGAUUGGACAACUCCAUCUGGAGUAUUGUGUUCUGAAGGCCAGGAGUCCAAGAAGAUGGUGUCAUGGUCUGCUGAGGGCCCUCUUCCAGCACUCCUGCCCACUGAAACCCACUACUCUGGGCUGUUUCCCGGCUACUGUUGGACCCCGACUACACUGUGCUACCUGAGAUUACUGUGUGCAGAACUCAUGUUUUGGACUUUCCCUCCUCCAUCAAGAUAUGACCAUCCCAUAUGCUAUUCCAUCGUGGCUCUGCUGUGUUUGUAUAUUAAUUUGAUAAACUCAUUUUAUUAAGAAGUAAUGACUGGUAAUAGUGUGCUAUGCUGGGAAAUCUGGAUUUUAACAGGGUACUCUUAAAGAUAUAUAACUUAGUCUAUGGGAUAGAUUACUUACAGCAAAAUUUAGGCAAGAUGAAAGAAAAUGGUUGAGAGAGAUGUUUUCAGCAGGGCCUAAAAGACUAAUGUGAUUUAACUUAGUUUCUUUCUUUCUUUAAAAAAAAUUUUUUUUAAUGUUUACUUAUUUUUGAAGGAGAGAGAGACAGAGU